UGGGGAAUAUUGCACAAUGGAGGGAACUCUGAUGCAGCGACGCCGCGUGAGUGAUGAAGGAAUUCGUUUCGUAAAACUCUGUCCUAUGGGAAGAAAAGGACUGUACCAUAGGAGAAAGCUCCGGCUAAAUACGUGCCAGCAGCCGCGGUAAUACGUAUGGAGCGAGCGUUGUCCGGAAUUAUUGGGCGUAAAGGGUGCGCAGGCGGCUUUACAAGUUGGAUGUGAAAUAUUGUGGCUCAACCACAAACGUGCAUCCAAAACUGCAAAGCUUGAGUUAAGGAGAGGUAAGUGGAAUUCCUGGUGUAGCGGUGGAAUGCGUAGAUAUCAGGAGGAAUACCGGUGGCGAAGGCGACUUACUGGACUUAAACUGACGCUCAGGCACGAAAGCGUGGGGAGCGAACAGG
RNAcentral lists this ribosomal RNA (404 nucleotides) under Fusobacteriota bacterium. Its description in RNAcentral is "Fusobacteria bacterium partial 16S ribosomal RNA". It matches the Rfam family "Bacterial small subunit ribosomal RNA", at positions 355 to 776 of the family's 1533-position model. Lineage: Bacteria; Fusobacteriati; Fusobacteriota. The record is from RNAcentral.